GUGCUUGCUUCAUCAGCACAUGUACUAAAAUUGGCACGAUACAAAGAUUACCAGCAUGGCCCCUGCCCAAGGAUGACACACACAUCUAUGAAGCGUUCCAUAUUUUU
Capra hircus (goat) is the source of this 107-nucleotide small nuclear RNA. The record is from Ensembl. NCBI's taxonomy places the organism in Eukaryota, Metazoa, Chordata, Mammalia, Artiodactyla, Bovidae.